Molecule: unclassified non-coding RNA, 222 nt
Filed under: Hevea brasiliensis (rubber tree)
Lineage: Eukaryota; Viridiplantae; Streptophyta; Magnoliopsida; Malpighiales; Euphorbiaceae
Source: RNAcentral
GAGAGAGCAUGAGUCCUAUCGCACUUCCUAACUGAAAUCCAGCCAUUGCUAUACCAACAGCCCUGGCUCGUUCUGUUGGAGGAAACCAUCUAGCAACCAUGUUCAUACAAGGAAGGGCCACACCUUCAGCAAUGCCGAGUAAAGCACGCAUGGCAAGAAGUGCCCAUAACGAAGUUUCAGCAGCCCAAGGAGUCAAAAAUGUGGCCAGUGACCACAAAGCCA